UACGUAGGGUGCAAGCGUUAAUCGGAAUUACUGGGCGUAAAGCGUGCGCAGGCGGUUAUGUAAGACAGAUGUGAAAUCCCCGGGCUCAACCUGGGAACUGCAUUUGUGACUGCACGGCUGGAGUGCGGCAGAGGGGGAUGGAAUUCCGCGUGUAGCAGUGAAAUGCGUAGAUAUGCGGAGGAACACCGAUGGCGAAGGCAAUCCCCUGGGCCUGCACUGACGCUCAUGCACGAAAGCGUGGGGAGCAAACAGG
RNAcentral lists this ribosomal RNA (253 nucleotides) under uncultured bacterium. RNAcentral's name for it is "partial 16S ribosomal RNA". It matches the Rfam family "Bacterial small subunit ribosomal RNA", at positions 524 to 776 of the family's 1533-position model. The record is from RNAcentral.